AGAGUUUGAUCAUGGCUCAGUACGAACGCUGGCGGCGUGCCUAAUACAUGCAAGUCGAACGCACUCCCGUUAGAUUGAAGAAGCUUGCUUCUGAUUGAUAACAUUUGAGUGAGUGGCGGACGGGUGAGUAACACGUGGGUAACCUGCCCUAAAGUGGGGGAUAACAUUUGGAAACAGAUGCUAAUACCGCAUAAAACCUAGCACCGCAUGGUGCAAGGUUGAAAGAUGGUUUCGGCUAUCACUUUAGGAUGGAUCCGCGGUGCAUUAGUUAGUUGGUGAGGUAAAGGCUCACCAAGACCGUGAUGCAUAGCCGACCUGAGAGGGUAAUCGGCCACACUGGGACUGAGACACGGCCCAGACUCCUACGGGAGGCAGCAGUAGGGAAUCUUCCACAAUGGACGAAAGUCUGAUGGAGCAACGCCGCGUGAGUGAAGAAGGUUUUCGGGUCGUAAAACUCUGUUGUUGGAGAAGAACGUAUUUGAUAGUAACUGAUCAGGUAGUGACGGUAUCCAACCAGAAAGCCACGGCUAACUACGUGCCAGCAGCCGCGGUAAUACGUAGGUGGCAAGCGUUGUCCGGAUUUAUUGGGCGUAAAGCGAGCGCAGGCGGUUUCUUAAGUCUGAUGUGAAAGCCUUCGGCUCAACCGAAGAAGUGCAUCGGAAACUGGGAAACUUGAGUGCAGAAGAGGACAGUGGAACUCCAUGUGUAGCGGUGAAAUGCGUAGAUAUAUGGAAGAACACCAGUGGCGAAGGCGGCUGUCUGGUCUGUAACUGACGCUGAGGCUCGAAAGCAUGGGUAGCAAACAGGAUUAGAUACCCUGGUAGUCCAUGCCGUAAACGAUGAGUGCUAGGUGUUGGAGGGUUUCCGCCCUUCAGUGCCGCAGCUAACGCAUUAAGCACUCCGCCUGGGGAGUAC
This 915-nucleotide ribosomal RNA is filed under the name uncultured bacterium. Its description in RNAcentral is "bacterial SSU rRNA". It matches the Rfam family "Bacterial small subunit ribosomal RNA", at positions 8 to 883 of the family's 1533-position model. The record is from RNAcentral.